UUUCCGUAGGUGAACCUGCGGAAGGAUCAUUAAUGAGUUGUCAUGGGGUUCGAUGCUGGCAGCCAAUUUUUGGAUGCAUGUGCUUGCCCUAACAAUCAUCUUCCAAACACCUGUGCACAUUUUUGAGGGAGUCUUGAGUUGGUUGCCGCUCUUGGGUGAUUUUCUCACAUUCCCUUAAAUCAUUAUACGCUAUUAACAAUGUUGAACGUGCUCUGUGCCGCAAUGCUAUUAAUAUAAUACAACUUUUAACAACGGAUCUCUUGGCUCUC
Molecule: unclassified non-coding RNA, 269 nt
Filed under: plant metagenome
Description: partial contains small subunit ribosomal RNA, internal transcribed spacer 1, and 5.8S ribosomal RNA
Source: RNAcentral